UUCUUGAAGCGGGGGUGCCCGGCGUUGCCGGGCUGAGAGAGUCCCUUGGAACCUGACCCGGUUAGUACCGGCGUAGGGAGCUUGCAGAUCCGGCAU
Non-coding RNA from Rhodanobacter sp. Soil772, 96 nucleotides. NCBI's taxonomy places the organism in Bacteria, Pseudomonadati, Pseudomonadota, Gammaproteobacteria, Lysobacterales, Rhodanobacteraceae. The record is from Rfam.